Molecule: ribosomal RNA, 202 nt
Filed under: uncultured Desulfocapsa sp.
Lineage: Bacteria; Pseudomonadati; Thermodesulfobacteriota; Desulfobulbia; Desulfobulbales; Desulfocapsaceae
Description: partial 16S ribosomal RNA
Rfam family: Bacterial small subunit ribosomal RNA
Source: RNAcentral
UGACGUCAAGUCCUCAUGGCCUUUAUGACCAGGGCUACACACGUACUACAAUGGCCGGUACAAAGGGCAGCGACACAGCGAUGUGAAGCGAAUCCCGAAAGCCGGUCUCAGUCCGGAUUGGAGUCUGCAACUCGACUCCAUGAAGUUGGAAUCGCUAGUAAUCGCGGAUCAGCACGCCGCGGUGAAUACGUUCCCGGGCCUU